AUGCCCAAUGGACAUGCUAGUUGGGAAAUGUUGACACAAGUGGUCUCAUGCAUGGGAAAGCUUGCCCUAGCGAUGUACAACAUGAUGUCAAGAGAAUUGUCUAACGACAACAAAGAAAUCCUCAUCAAGGAUGGAUAUCUACCACUUGAAGCAGGUUCCCGUCUGUUUGCCUACCGUCAUUAUACAGGCACACCGGUCGCGAAGCCAACUCUGGCGCCCGCAUUGACACACCCCGCCACCGCUUGGCCUGGCCGGUGUCUGCCAUUUACACCAGGUCACACUCGGCACAAACCACACCACGUCCAUUUCACAUCCUCCUCUGUGGACCACCUCCGCCAUGACCAGGUCGGCCUGCCGGCCUACUCCUCGAAGGUCUCUGACGAUGACCCGAUGAUGGAGACAGCCUCUGACGACGAGUCGGCGCCCCUACUAGCCCUGUUCCAUGUUGUCUCGAUCAUGGAGCAUGCGCAAGGUGCGCUUCAAGGAUGCCAUGGCGGAGCAGCAGCCGGCGCCACAGUCGAUGUCAGAGUUCCGGCAAGCGCAGGAGGAACAUGGUACAACUUUUCUCUCCUCAAGCAGCAUCGGCCGACAGAAGGCCAAAUCUACGGCCAGCUCGUGAGCGAGGAGGCCGAGGCGGCCAAGGCCGCGGAGAACCCAACUUCAUCACUGAGCAAAGGGUGUUGCGGCGGAGGCGGCCAAGGCCGCGGAGAACCCAACUUCAUCACUGAGCAAAGGGUGUUGUACAAGGCCGCGACACUCAUGCUGCCUGCAACACAGACCGACGUGGAGGCGCCGGAGGCGGCCAAGGCCGUGGAGAACCCCAACUUCGUCACCAAGCAAAGGGUCUUGUACAAGGCCGCGCCCGGUCGCGCCGCGGUCGCAACACAGUCGGACGCGGAGGUGGCGCAGGCGAUCGCGGACGAGAAUGUCGGCAGCUGCGCACCCUUAGCGCCGCCAAUGAAGUUUUGGUGGUGCCGGUUCUACGACGAGGCACGUCUGUCCAUGUCCAUCAUCGAUCUCACACACGGCGUGGAUGGGCAUCGCAACGGUAAGGAAUUCCCUUGUCCGCCCCCAAUUCGAGACGGAAGCACCGCACAGCAGCCGACCUCGCACGCCUACCCCUGCCCCUGCCCGCUCCGGAUCCUUCCAUCCAUCACAAACCCACCAGCUCCACUUUCCUUUUAUUUCCCGCCGCCACGCCACGCGCACCUCGGCGAAGGACAAGGCUCCGGCUGCCGCCACCGCCUCUGCCCCGGCUAUAAAGCCGCGCCCUUUGGCCGGCCCGCUCCUCCUCCUCCUCGCUUCGCCCGGGCCAUGCCUUCCUCCUCCUCGCCGCGCACUGCCCGGUCUGCUCCUCCUCCUCUCCUCGCCCUGGCCGUGCCUUCCUCCUCCUCGCCGCGCCCUGCCCGGUCCGCUCCUCCACCUCCUCUCUUCGCCCCGGCCGCGCCUUCCUCCUCCUCGCCGCGCUCCCGCCGGUCCGCUGCUCCUCCACCCUUCGUCCGGGCCGUGCAGUCGCGUCCGGAUUUGAUUUUGCUCGCCGUCACCGUCGCCGUCGCCGUUCGUCAGUUUAGAGUCGCUUCUGAGUUGAUUUUGCGCUUCCCCGCCGUCGUCGGUUUAGAGUCGCUUCUGAUUUGGUUCUGCUCGUCCACGCCGUCGGCCGUUUUCGUCUUGCUCGUCCUCGCAGUUGCCCCGACGCGCUCGCAUGUUCUUGGUCCUGUCUCGUCGAGGGUCUCCCGUCUGGACAAGUAUGUUGCUCUUUCCAGGACCGGUAAUUCUGAUAGUAUGCCAAGGACUGCUCAGGGUUCCUAUCGCUUUCUGUUUUACCAACUAAGUAUUUUCCUGACUCUGAAAUUUGGUGAUAAAGAAAAGAAUCCAGGGUGGAUGGAGGUUUUCAUAAUGGCUAAUUUGAUUUGUUAUGGUUCUGAUGGUGUGCUUCUUGUGUUUGAACUGAAGCUGUGGAUCACUCAUCAACCUGGUCAGCUUCCAGAACUUCCUGCUGCUGAUCCUGGGAUGUUUCCGAACAUGCUCCUGAACAUGUUACUCGGCAUGCUCGGCGUGUUUACUUCGGUGGACUUCCUCCGAUCACUAAUGAACAGGUGGCAUAAUCAUCUGAAUCCAAACAUAUGGAACGAUGCUUGGACUACUGAGGAGGAACAUGCACUGAUUAAUGCCAUCAGUGCAUGCCAGGAACUUCAUGAUUCCUUUCUCAAGCUGUAUGAGAUUUGUCGACACGGCGUCGCAAUUGCAGUCGUCGCGGUGGUGAAUUGCGGUGUCAUGGUAGGGUUCCCAAAUGUUGGAGCUGUUGCGAUGGGGAGGGCCGUAGUGUGCGUGGGAUUAAUUGUGGCGAGCGUCGUGGCCACGACCGCAAUAGGGCCAUGGGGAGGGCCGUAG
RNAcentral lists this ribosomal RNA (2391 nucleotides) under Triticum aestivum (bread wheat). Its description in RNAcentral is "partial small subunit ribosomal RNA". Lineage: Eukaryota; Viridiplantae; Streptophyta; Magnoliopsida; Poales; Poaceae. The record is from RNAcentral.